This 301-nucleotide ribosomal RNA is filed under the name uncultured bacterium. Its description in RNAcentral is "partial 16S ribosomal RNA". It matches the Rfam family "Bacterial small subunit ribosomal RNA", at positions 509 to 809 of the family's 1533-position model. The record is from RNAcentral.
CAGUAGCCGCGGUAAUACGUAGGUGGCGAGCGUUGUCCGGAAUCAUUGGGCGUAAAGGGAGCGCAGGCGGGCAUGUAAGUCUUUCUUAAAAGUUCGGGGCUCAACCCGUGAGGGGAUGGAAACUGCUGAUCUAGAGUAUCGGAGAGGAAAGUGGAAUUCCUAGUGUAGCGGUGAAAUGCGUAGAUAUUAGGAAGAACACCAGUGGCGAAGGCGGCUCACUGGCCCGAUACUGACGCUGAGGCACGAAAGCGUGGGGAGCAAACAGGAUUAGAUACCCCCGUAGUCCCUGUCUCUUAUACAC